This 447-nucleotide ribosomal RNA is filed under the name uncultured bacterium. RNAcentral's name for it is "partial 16S ribosomal RNA". It matches the Rfam family "Bacterial small subunit ribosomal RNA", at positions 29 to 523 of the family's 1533-position model. The record is from RNAcentral.
AACGAACGCUGGCGGCAGGCCUAACACAUGCAAGUCGAGCGCCCCGCAAGGGGAGCGGCGGACGGGUGAGUAACGCGUGGGAACGUACCCUUUUCUGCGGAAUAGCCCAGGGAAACUUGGAUUAAUACCGCAUACGCCCUUCGGGGGAAAGAUUUAUCGGAGAAGGAUCGGCCCGCGUUGGAUUAGGUAGUUGGUGGGGUAAUGGCCUACCAAGCCGACGAUCCAUAGCUGGUUUGAGAGGAUGAUCAGCCACACUGGGACUGAGACACGGCCCAGACUCCUACGGGAGGCAGCAGUGGGGAAUCUUCGGCAAUGGGCGCAAGCCUGACCGAGCCAUGCCGCGUGAGCGAUGAAGGCCUUAGGGUUGUAAAGCUCUUUCGCCAGGGAUGAUAAUGACAGUACCUGGUAAAGAAACCCCGGCUAACUCCGUGCCAGCCGCCGCAGUAA